Long non-coding RNA from Ictalurus punctatus (channel catfish), 401 nucleotides. The record is from Ensembl. NCBI's taxonomy places the organism in Eukaryota, Metazoa, Chordata, Actinopteri, Siluriformes, Ictaluridae.
AUGAGCUUGUGAUUGGUGCACUGCGAUGGACGAGCAUCCCAUCCGAGGUGAAUUCUCCCACACUGUGUUCAUUGUUCCACAGGAUCCACUGCAGCACAGAAAAGGAUAGAGAUGUUACUGAAGAAAAAUGAAUAAAAGUUUAAAUAUUAUCAAUUUUACUGAGCCGGACAUCUCAGUUGAGGAUUCCUGAAAAAGAGCCAGAUCCGAUGGGGGGAUUGGAAAGACGUCAUCUCUUUAGAAGAACCUACAAGGGAGACUGCUGAUGACAAUGGUGGCAUGUUUGAGCCCAUCAUAUCAGUCCUGUUAACAACUGACGCACACUGUUGUAUAUUCUAGCCUGAUGAUCCAUCUGUCUAAGCACGAAUCUCUACUUGCCUGUCGGACAUCCCGGUCUGGAUGAG